Long non-coding RNA from Panicum hallii, 1014 nucleotides. RefSeq lists it as uncharacterized. The record is from RefSeq and is a predicted model, not a curated record. The transcript is spliced from 4 exons. NCBI's taxonomy places the organism in Eukaryota, Viridiplantae, Streptophyta, Magnoliopsida, Poales, Poaceae.
UAGCUUCUUCUUGUUCCCCCGGACGGCCAGACCCCACCACCGCGCGCGGUGGCCGCGCCCCCGCCGCCGUGGCCUCGGUCGCCCUCCGACGGACUCGGACUCGUAGUCUUCCUCGCCGACGGGCGACGGUGGCUGGCCUCCGCCACAGCGAGCGUGUAUCCACUUCCUCGCUACUCUCUUCGCGAUCCAGCAGAGCAACGCGGCGGGCUGAGUGCGGAGUUCGGGGAGGCGGGCGCAGGCGGUCAACAAGCACCUGACCAUCAGAGGCAAGGCAAGCAUUGCCGCCGCGGGCCCCCUUUUCUGGGCUGCGAAUGCGCCACGGGAGGCUGGAUGAGGCUGUCGACACGGCUCCACGCCUCCACCUAAUAAUCCGAGCAAGGAAUGCUACAGUAGGUGCGGAAUGCGGAUCAGACCUGAACUUGGUUAUUUUACGGGAUAAAAGUAUAUUAUUUCCAAGAUUGGUGAAUAAAGGGACAGGAUACAUGACUUAAGGGGAAAGACUACAUUAUUAAGCAAGCGAUCUUCCCAGAUAAGGGACAUGGAUUAACAUGACGACUAAUAAUUCUUGAUGCCAUGAUUCAACUACAAAUAGCCUACCGUUCUUAUGGAUCCAACUGUUUGCUCGACAACAUCACCUGCAUCACCAUAUGAUUUUUGGAAUGCAUCCUCGAGACAAUUCCCCCAGCAGCAAUAAACAGGGGUACAGUUGAAAGCAUGACAAGUGUUAGAAGCCAACCUUUCACAAAAGCAACCGCAAGUCCACCAAGGAAGGUGGUAACAAGCUGUGCAAACUUCCCUGCCUGAUAAGAAGGAAUGUGGCAAUAUGUCAGGGGAAAAAGAAAAUAAAGUGACCACUCCAAAGUGCACCUACUAGUUCACCAAAACAACAACAGGAUGUAAAUAUGCAUGUUGAACUACCAUGGGUGUAAGUAGAUUUUUUUUUUCUGCAGCAGAUAAAACCAUAAUGUAUUAUACAGUUACCUUGUCCCCAGUGGCUCCUUGAAUUAGAACAGU